UGAACGCUGGCGGCAGGCCUAACACAUGCAAGUCGAGCGGUAGCACAGAGAGCUUGCUCUCGGGUGACGAGCGGCGGACGGGUGAGUAAUGUCUGGGAAACUGCCUGAUGGAGGGGGAUAACUACUGGAAACGGUAGCUAAUACCGCAUAAUGUCGCAAGACCAAAGUGGGGGACCUUCGGGCCUCAUGCCAUCAGAUGUGCCCAGAUGGGAUUAGCUAGUAGGUGGGGUAACGGCUCACCUAGGCGACGAUCCCUAGCUGGUCUGAGAGGAUGACCAGCCACACUGGAACUGAGACGCGGUCCAGACUCCUACGGGAGGCAGCAGUGGGGAAUAUUGCACAAUGGGCGCAAGCCUGAUGCAGCCAUGCCGCGUGUGUGAAGAAGGCCUUCGGGUUGUAAAGCACUUUCAGCGGGGAGGAAGGCGUUAAGGUUAAUAACCUUGGCGAUUGACGUUACCCGCAGAAGAAGCACCGGCUAACUCCGUGCCAGCAGCCGCGGUAAUACGGAGGGUGCAAGCGUUAAUCGGAAUUACUGGGCGUAAAGCGCACGCAGGCGGUCUGUCAAGUCGGAUGUGAAAUCCCCGGGCUCAACCUGGGAACUGCAUUCGAAACUGGCAGGCUAGAGUCUUGUAGAGGGGGGUAGAAUUCCAGGUGUAGCGGUGAAAUGCGUAGAGAUCUGGAGGAAUACCGGUGGCGAAGGCGGCCCCCUGGACAAAGACUGACGCUCAGGUGCGAAAGCGUGGGGAGCAAACAGGAUUAGAUACCCUGGUAGUCCACGCCGUAAACGAUGUCGAUUUGGAGGUUGUGCCCUUGAGGCGUGGCUUCCGGAGCUAACGCGUUAAAUCGACCGCCUGGGGAGUACGGCCGCAAGGUUAAAACUCAAAUGAAUUGACGGGGGCCCGCACAAGCGGUGGAGCAUGUGGUUUAAUUCGAUGCAACGCGAAGAACCUUACCUGGUCUUGACAUCCACAGAACUUUCCAGAGAUGGAUUGGUGCCUUCGGGAACUGUGAGACAGGUGCUGCAUGGCUGUCGUCAGCUCGUGUUGUGAAAUGUUGGGUUAAGUCCCGCAACGAGCGCAACCCUUAUCCUUUGUUGCCAGCGGUUAGGCCGGGAACUCAAAGGAGACUGCCAGUGAUAAACUGGAGGAAGGUGGGGAUGACGUCAAGUCAUCAUGGCCCUUACGACCAGGGCUACACACGUGCUACAAUGGCAUAUACAAAGAGAAGCGACCUCGCGAGAGCAAGCGGACCUCAUAAAGUAUGUCGUAGUCCGGAUUGGAGUCUGCAACUCGACUCCAUGAAGUCGGAAUCGCUAGUAAUCGUAGAUCAGAAUGCUACGGUGAAUACGUUCCCGGGCCUUGUACACACCGCCCGUCACACCAUGGGAGUGGGUUGCAAAAGAAGUAGGUAGCUUAACCUUCGGGAGGGCGCUUACCACUUUGUGAUUCAUGACUGGGGUGAAGUC
Molecule: ribosomal RNA, 1465 nt
Filed under: uncultured organism
Description: SSU rRNA
Rfam family: Bacterial small subunit ribosomal RNA
Source: RNAcentral